CGAACUGCGAUACGUAAUGUGAAUUGCAGAAUUCAGUGAAUCAUCGAAUCUUUGAACGCACCUUGCGCUCCUUGGUAUUCCUUGGAGCAUGCCUGUUUGAGUAUCAUGAAAUCUUCAAAGUAAAUCUUUUGUUAACUCAAUUGGUUUCUACUUUGGUAUUGGAGGUCUUUGCAGCUUCACACCUGCUCCUCUUUGUUCAUUAGCUGGAUCUCAGUGUUAUGCUUGGUUCCACUCGGCGUGAUAAGUUAUCUAUCGCUGAGGACACUGUAAAAGGUGGCCAAGGUAAAUGCAGAUGAACCGCUUCUAAUAGUCCAUUGACUUGGACAAUACUUUUAUGAUCUGAUCUCAAAUCAGGUAGGACUACCCGCUGAACUUAAGC
This 379-nucleotide unclassified non-coding RNA is filed under the name plant metagenome. RNAcentral describes it as "partial contains 5.8S ribosomal RNA, internal transcribed spacer 2, and large subunit ribosomal RNA". The stretch from base 1 to 106 matches the Rfam family "5.8S ribosomal RNA", at positions 49 to 154 of the family's 154-position model. The record is from RNAcentral.